AAUUGCCGUGCUUUUAGAGGAAAUGUUUUAAAUAAUAAAAAGACCGUAGCAAUAAUAAAAAGACAUGUUUUCAACGUUUUAUUUUUUAUAAUGACUUUCACCAUAAUGUCGUACAUAUUCUUUAAUUAAUUUCUUUUUUAGUAGCAGGUAUAUUACCUUACAGCAAAUUGAUGUAGAUUUUGCUACCGCAAUACAUUUGUUGCCGUAGACCGCAGAUUACCGUAGAACAUGAACGGCAAAUGUCCUGAGCCGUAACAAUGGCAACAUUGCGUAAAGUAACUGACGGUUGGGUUGGGUACCUGACCGUCAUAAGGUGUGUAGCAAUAUCAUCCUCAUUUUGGUCGGGCACAACCAAAAUGGGACGGGUAUUAAUCUAGACUGAAAUCUACAACCUGGGUACGAGCUCCAAACAAAAUUACCCAUUACUUCAUUAAAACGGGGUGAAUAGGGAUCGAGAGUUGAAUAGGGACAGAAGAGGGGUAAAUAGAUACUAUGAAAAAUUUCCCUGUAUCUAUUCACCCCUCUAAACCUCUCGAUCCCUAUUCACCUCGUUUUACGGUUAUUGUUUACGAAUAGAGGGUAUCUAAUGCUUUGGUUGCCUCUAUGGUUUUGUGACAGAAAACCGAUUCAACCCGUCUAUGACAUUUGACAAUGACAGAUAACCUAAGAGUAAUAUAAAAUUACAGUAUUUACAGUGUUUGGAGGUGAAUGACAAGUUGAAAGAUAAACCAUGGCUACAAACUAUGCACAGUAUUCUCAAUUAAUAAAAGCUUCGACGAACUACGCACGACGUAUGCAGCGCCUAUCUAAUAGAAUCUUCGGUGAGGUAGCAAUUCCCACAAAUUCCAAAUCCAUGAAAGUGGUUAAGAUGUUUUCUGAGCGGCCGCUGCACACCAACGAGGAAAUCAUUCACUAUUAUCCUCGACAUGUCGAGACACAUAGCUUGAUGCUUAAACUAAGGGAAUAUGGGUUAUUCAGAGAUGAACACCAAGACUUUAAGGACGAAAUGAAAAGGCUGCGGGAACUCAGGGGCAAAGUUAAAGUGUGGAGGAGAAAGUUAGACCAAAAGUCCGAAUAAUUGUGGAACAAACAAUUGAACUGUAGUUUUACUUGAAAGUGUGCUAAAGUGGAGCUACGCUUGAACUGUACAGUUUAAUUGUUACGAGUGUAGCAUGUAUUAAUCAAUCAAGUUGAUGCUUGUAGAGCAUUUCAGAACUUGUUUAAUAGAUUGACCUAUUUAUUAGUCUUUAUUUUGGUUUAGAUGUUUUGUUAAUAAAAUAAAAUCUCCAUCAUA
Molecule: long non-coding RNA, 1294 nt
Organism: Spodoptera frugiperda (fall armyworm)
Lineage: Eukaryota; Metazoa; Arthropoda; Insecta; Lepidoptera; Noctuidae
Exons: 2
Source: RefSeq, a predicted model, not a curated record